AAUCAACGCUGGCGGCGUGCCUAACACAUGCAAGUCGCACGAGAAAGGGACUUCGGUCCUGAGUACAGUGGCGCACGGGUGAGUAACACGUGAAUAAUCUACCUUCGAGUGGGGAAUAACUGAGAGAAAUCUUAGCUAAUACCGCAUAAUACCCACGGGUCAAAGCAGCAAUGCGCUUGAAGAGGAGUUCGCGGCAGAUUAGUUAGUUGGCAGGGUAAUGGCCACCAAGACGAUGAUCUGUAUCCGGCCUGAGAGGGCGCACGGACACACUGGAACUGAAACACGGUCCAGACUCCUACGGGAGGCAGCAGGUGGGGUAAUUUUGCGACAAGGUACGGGGAAACCCUGACGCAGCAACCGCCGCGUGGAGG
Molecule: ribosomal RNA, 371 nt
Filed under: uncultured bacterium
Lineage: Bacteria
Description: bacterial SSU rRNA
Rfam family: Bacterial small subunit ribosomal RNA
Source: RNAcentral